UACGUAGGGUCCAAGCGUUAUCCGGAAUUACUGGGCGUAAAGAGUUGCGUAGGUGGCAUAGUAAGUAGAUAGUGAAAGCGUGUGGCUCAACCAUACAUCCAUUAUCUAAACUGCUAAGCUUGAGAACGAGAGAGGUAGAUGGAAUUCCUGAUGUAGGGGUAAUAUCCGUAGAUAUCAGGAGGAACACCGAUGGCGUAAGCAGUCUACUGGCUCGUUUCUGACACUAAGGCACGAAAGCGUGGGGAGCAAACAGG
This 254-nucleotide ribosomal RNA is filed under the name uncultured bacterium. Its description in RNAcentral is "partial 16S ribosomal RNA". It matches the Rfam family "Bacterial small subunit ribosomal RNA", at positions 524 to 776 of the family's 1533-position model. The record is from RNAcentral.